UUGGUGUGACAGCAGGAAAAGCAAACACUGUUUUGUAAAGAGUAUUAUGUGAUAUAUAUUAUAAAAAAUCACAUAUAUAUUUGCAUAUAGGAUAUCUUAAUGUUUCAUGAGACCAUUUUGUGGCAGUUACAAGUUGUUUCUGCAUUCUUCAGCUCAGAAAGAAGAUUUUGGGAAGGAAACGAGGGGAGAAAAUGGCAGCUGCAAGUAGCAACGAGUUUCAGCUUAUUGUCCCUCCGAAUGUUCUGGUUAAACUGGGGUCUGAUGUUACAGUACCAUGUCACCUGUCACCUGAAAUAAGUGCUUUUGACAUGGAGAUCAGAUGGUUUAAAGAGAAAGACUGUGUGAUUCUCUAUAAGAACGGACAGGUGACAGAGUUGAGGAGCUAUGAGGGCAGAGUGAAUCUUGUAAUUCAUGAACUAGAGAGAGGAAAUGUGUCCUUAAUACUGAGAGACUUCAGAGAGUCAGAUGCGGGAGUUUACCUGUGUCAGGUCAUCAGUCAAGACAUAACAGUGGAGGAGACAGUACAAGUUAAUCAAUCAAGGGAAGAUGCUGAAGUCCAACCUGCAUCACCAUUACAAAACAAAAAUGUGCAGCUGAAACCACAUGAGAUCAACAAAACAUGGAGUGAAAGACAGAAAAGAAAAAUGGAGGAAUCUGAUGUAAUGACAGCCAUUCAUUUUUCAGGUGGAGUCAAACUUUUCUACAUGUUGACUGGAAAAACAAGUAACUCUCAUAAAAGUUUUGUUGACUCUCUGAUGAACGAAGAUCUGGAAGAUCUGAGAGAAGUUCCUACGGUGGAUGAGAGUGACAUUGUUUUGGUUUUCUGUCCUAUUGUUUCUCGAGCUGGAACUGAUAUUGAAGCAGCACUGAAAGUAUUUACUGACUCUACAGCCUCUAAAUUGAAAGUUGUAGUGGUGCUACAUCACACGUUUGACCCAGAGAAAACUGUACCAGACAGCAGCAGAUGUGUCAACAGGACAGAUAUACUGACAGUGGACUGUCUGUUCUAUGAAGACACAGGAUUACUAAAGUGUCAGAGGAAUGAUGAUGCGAAAGACAAGGUUAUUUCUUGGUUAAUAGAGCAGGGGAAGAAAAAAGGUGUUGAAGUAUGUCCACGUCAAAAUAGAUUUAAGGGAUUAACAUCAAUAAAAAGAUCACACAAGUCUGUGCAGGAUGAAGGUCAAUCUGAGACAGUGGGAUUAAAAAAGAGGAAAAUUAUUGAGCCACAGAUUUGUACAGACGACGUCAAAGUUUGCAUUAUUACGAGUGGAAAAACGAAAGAGACUAACAUUCAAUUUUUCAACACUCUGAGUGACCGCAUUAAAUCUCUGAAGGAAGUUCCUACAGUAGAUGAGAGUCACGUUGUUCUGGUUUUCUGUCCUGUUGUGUCUCGAGCUGGAACUGAUAUAGAAGCAGCACUGAAGAUAUUUGAUGACUCCACAGCUUUUAUGAUGAAAGUUCUGGUGGUGCUACAUCACACAUUUGACACAGAGAAAACUGUACCAGACAGCAGCAGAUGUGUCAACAGGACAGAUAUCCUGACAGUGGACUGUCUGUUCUAUGAAGACACAGGAUUGCUAAAGUGUCAGAAAAAUUAUGAUGCAAUCGACAAAGUUGUGAACUGGUUAAUACAGCAGGGGGAGACAGAGGGAGUUAAAGUUUGUCCACGUCAAAGCAAGUCAUAUUUCAGCAGAGCAUAACAUUGGCCAGAUUUUACACAGCUCUAUAUCUCCCUGUUGUUUGGGUUAAAGGAUUGACUCACAACGGAGUUGAUAUCUCCAGGUGUAAUUUGUUCCUGACGGAGAGAGAUCUAGUGAAACUGGACUCAAAGUUUAGAUCUAUAAGAUCUACAAGCCAUAUAUCAUAGUUGGAUCUAUCAGUUGGCAGAAGAAACACUGAGUUCCUGCAAUGGCCAAGUAAACAAAAGUGUUACGUAUCUCAGUUGUUAAAAUGACACUGUAAUUUUUCUCUACAGUGGAUGAAACCAGGAUCUUCAAGGGGUAAUCAUUAAGGAUGGUUGUACAGAAUCACAUGGAGGUUUAGGAAUAAUCUUUUGUUACACCAUCAUUCAGAAGAUCCUGUGACUGACAGCUAUGUAAAUCAACUCACUCUACAGCUGAGAUCAACAUUAGUCAACACAUAUUAGCUGCUUGUUGUGAUUCACACAUGCCAAGUACUGAUAUCUACUAUGAGCCUGUUCUUUCCAGCCACAGCACCUUAUUGUGUUCAUGUGAUUUAAUUGGUUGUGGUGCAAAAGGUUGUGGGUUCAAGUCUCAGGGAACACACACAGCCUAAUCGAAAAAUUUAUAAAUUGAAAGCACAGAAAUUAAUGAUAAAAGUGUCUGUCAAAUGUUUAAAUAUAAAAAGUGCUAAAAUUGUCUAUUCAUAGAGCCUUCAAAACAAAUGGCUGCAUAUUUUGUUUUUUCACAUAUGCAGCCACUGAACUAUUUAGUUAUCUUGACUGGAGACACACAUACAUUUCAUGGGACUUUAUAGAUGCUCUAAACAGAGAGACCCUGUGUCUGGGUUUUCUACGGAUAUAUUCUGCACUUCCGUUAUGUUUCUGUUUUAAGUGACACUUUUACUGAUGGACAAAAUUAUUCAAAGAGAACAGGUGAAUAAGAAUAACAUUUACUUAUACAAAAUCAAUGUAUUGCUGGUUUGUUUCUACUAAUGACACAAAUUACAUUAUUUUUCUAGACAAGCCUGUUGUUCUUGUUGUUCUCCAUAAUACACUGGAAUCAAACUCUUUCCCAAACUUCUGUCUGGUUUACACUUGUAAAAAAAGAUCACGUCAUAUUUUAAUAAGAAAAAUCUUGAAUAUUUAGGGAUAAUGUAAAUUUGAAAUCAAUAAUGUAAAUAGAAGUUUAUAAAACAUAUUUUAUAAAUACUGCAUUAUUUGUGUGAAGUUAUUCAAGAAAAUUGUCUGCAAUGUCAAUGUUUGUUCUCCGUUUAUGU
This is an RNA transcript of Triplophysa dalaica, 2958 nucleotides long. RefSeq lists it as uncharacterized. The record is from RefSeq and is a predicted model, not a curated record. Lineage: Eukaryota; Metazoa; Chordata; Actinopteri; Cypriniformes; Nemacheilidae. The transcript has 15 exons.